Molecule: long non-coding RNA, 421 nt
Organism: Dioscorea cayenensis subsp. rotundata (Guinea yam)
Lineage: Eukaryota; Viridiplantae; Streptophyta; Magnoliopsida; Dioscoreales; Dioscoreaceae
Exons: 3
Source: RefSeq, a predicted model, not a curated record
AAUUUAUCAUGCCCUUCGACUUCGAGAACUCGAGCACUCGAGCGAACGACUUCGAGAACUCAAGCUCUCGAGCUCGAGAGCGAGAGCGAGAGCGAGAGAGAGAGAGGAAAGUUGGUCAUGGAGUCAUCUUCCUCUUCGCCCACCUCCUCCACCCACUGUUUCUCUCCUCAUUCACAGGGGGAGGUGAAGCUUACCAUCACGCAGUUGGAGCAAGAGAGCGUGGAGAGGAAUGUGUUUGAGAUUUACCGUCACCUCGCUGAAGCUCCCCCUCAGGCCAAGCCUUUCAUUAUGGCAACUUUGCUUAUAUAAGGAAAGGACAUGACUUGGAUCAAAAGAUUAAAUCUAAGGCCUUCCAGGAGAUUUAAAAGGAUGGCAUUUAAGGGUGCAGCUUUUGGCAUGAUGAGCAUGUUGAGUUCUUAAC